Cinara cedri is the source of this 552-nucleotide non-coding RNA. The record is from the annotation of a GenBank genome assembly. Lineage: Eukaryota; Metazoa; Arthropoda; Insecta; Hemiptera; Aphididae.
UCAUAUUAGUUUAAAUUUUAAGUCUGAUAAACGCUUAACAUUUAUUGUUAGUAAAAUUAGUAAGAAAUAAAUUUGAAUUUUACUUUUAAAGUAAUAAAAUAAAACCUAAUGUAUAGAAACUAUAGUGCAGAGCGAAUAUUGUUUAUGGAGGAUCGAUGACGGACAUUAGAUUAUUAUACUUACCUACCUACCUACUCCCCCCCCCCCUCGCCAUGGAAAAUUUUAUAUUUUUUUAUUGAAUUCUCCUACGCGUACCAAUAAAAAAAUACUAUACAAUUUUAUUCAGCAUCGAAUUUGUUAAAUUUAACGGCAGACAAUAUAAUUCAAAAACAUACUGUAAUUUAAUUUCAUGAAGAGAGAAGGUGUUUGUUUGUUGCUUUGUACACCCCAAAAAUUUUCCAAAAUUGAAUUUUUAAAAAUCCUCUCUUAACGGAUGCUUACGUCGCAAUAGCUAUCUGUAUUCCAAAUUUCAGCCCGAUCCGUCCUGCAGUGGUUUGGGCUAGACGAUGAUGAAUCAUUCAGUAAUUUAGUCAGUCAGUUGCUCAGUAAGGG